GAUGGCAUGGUGUAGUGGUUUGAGUGUUGGACUUCAACUCUGGAGACCAGGGUUCAAUUCCUGCUCUGCCAUGA
Non-coding RNA from Phrynosoma platyrhinos (Desert horned lizard), 74 nucleotides. Lineage: Eukaryota; Metazoa; Chordata; Lepidosauria; Squamata; Phrynosomatidae. The record is from the annotation of a GenBank genome assembly.